UAUGUUCAUCUGUGCAAAUAUAUCAAUGUGUACCAAACUCAGAAUAUCACUAGCUCAUACACCCUUUCUAAUAAAAGGUAACUAAGUCAACUAUGUCAAAGGUAGGCUUCAAUGAUAUUAUCUAAUCUAGGAUGCUAGCUAGAUGUGUACUUCAUAUUAACAGAUUAUGGUACUAAGUUUAUAUCAUGUUCAAUUAUUUACUCA
Molecule: long non-coding RNA, 204 nt
Filed under: Elaeis guineensis (African oil palm)
Lineage: Eukaryota; Viridiplantae; Streptophyta; Magnoliopsida; Arecales; Arecaceae
Description: long non-coding RNA (EGUI_LNC063521)
Source: RNAcentral